AACGCUAGCUACAGGCUUAACACAUGCAAGUCGAGGGGCAGCAUGUUGGUUGCUUGCAACCAAUGAUGGCGACCGGCGCACGGGUGAGUAACGCGUAUCCAACCUUCCCCUUACUCAGGAAUAGCCUGUUGAAAGACGGAUUAAUGCCUGAUGUUCUCAUGUUGCCGCAUGGUGAUGUGAGCAAAGAUUCAUCGGUAAGGGAUGGGGAUGCGUAUGAUUAGCUUGUUGGCGGGGUAACGGCCCACCAAGGCGACGAUCAUUAGGGGUUCUGAGAGGAAGGUCCCCCACACUGGAACUGAGACACGGUCCAGACUCCUACGGGAGGCAGCAGUGAGGAAUAUUGGUCAAUGGAGGCAACUCUGAACCAGCCAAGUAGCGUGCAGGAUGACGGCCCUAUGGGUUGUAAACUGCUUUUAUGCGGGGAUAAAUGAGCCUACGUGUAGGUUUUUGCAGGUACCGCAUGAAUAAGGACCGGCUAAUUCCGUGCCAGCAGCCGCGGUAAUACGGAAGGUCCAGGCGUUAUCCGGAUUUAUUGGGUUUAAAGGGAGCGUAGGCGGCCUGUUAAGCGUGUUGUGAAAUGUAGAGGCUCAACCUCUGCACUGCAGCGCGAACUGGCGGGCUUGAGUUGGCUGAAAGUAUGCGGAAUUCGUGGUGUAGCGGUGAAAUGCUUAGAUAUCACGAAGAACUCCGAUUG
RNAcentral lists this ribosomal RNA (694 nucleotides) under uncultured Bacteroidales bacterium. RNAcentral describes it as "bacterial SSU rRNA". It matches the Rfam family "Bacterial small subunit ribosomal RNA", at positions 32 to 715 of the family's 1533-position model. The record is from RNAcentral. Lineage: Bacteria; Pseudomonadati; Bacteroidota; Bacteroidia; Bacteroidales.